UACGUAGGGUGCGAGCGUUGUCCGGAAUUAUUGGGCGUAAAGAGCUUGUAGGCGGUUUGUCGCGUCUGCCGUGAAAAUUCGAGGCUCAACCUCGAACUUGCGGUGGGUACGGGCAGACUAGAGUGUGGUAGGGGAGACUGGAAUUCCUGGUGUAGCGGUGAAAUGCGCAGAUAUCAGGAGGAACACCGAUGGCGAAGGCAGGUCUCUGGGCCACUACUGACGCUGAUGCACGAAAGCUGGGGGAGCAAACAGG
This 253-nucleotide ribosomal RNA is filed under the name uncultured bacterium. RNAcentral describes it as "partial 16S ribosomal RNA". It matches the Rfam family "Bacterial small subunit ribosomal RNA", at positions 524 to 776 of the family's 1533-position model. The record is from RNAcentral.